This is a long non-coding RNA of Dreissena polymorpha, 544 nucleotides long. RefSeq lists it as uncharacterized. The record is from RefSeq and is a predicted model, not a curated record. Lineage: Eukaryota; Metazoa; Mollusca; Bivalvia; Myida; Dreissenidae. The transcript has 4 exons.
UGAGCUGAACAGAGAAAUGCGACACGGAUCGAGAACGACGAUCGAUGUAUUUUUUAUAAUUUGUUUCAAAAGCUAUUCGAUAGGGGCAGGGACGUUGACUUUUCACCGAAAGACAUUGCCAGGUUCAUAUAAUAUUCCGAUCAAGUUGAAGAGAUUGUGCGAGGACGAGAAAAGCUGGACAGGCGUUGGAUUGAAAUUGAAGACAUUCGCCUUUAUCUCUGCAUCACACCGGGUCAGAAUUCUGGGAAAAGUCUCUAGAUGGGUACAACCUCUGAACAGACCCCUCCACCAACACAAAUGCUUAUGCAGGGAAAUGAAGAGGACAUUUAAUGAGAUUGUGGAGGUCUUUCUUGCCUACCCAGCUGUGUGAAAAGCUUGAAAAAAUGAAGAGACUUUGCAGGGAUAAACCUUCAGAUGAAUCAAGCAUUGUCAGUAUACCAGAUUUGUUAUUGGGGCACAUAACUUCGUUAACAUCUGCAACAUGGAAUAAAAAUCUAUGUUACAAGCUGCAUGUGCCUUUGAAAGAACUUGUGCCCAGAGUUAA